CUGGCUCAGGACGAACGCUGGCGGCGUGCCUAAUACAUGCAAGUCGAGCGAACAGAGAAGGAGCUUGCUCCUUCGACGUUAGCGGCGGACGGGUGAGUAACACGUGGGCAACCUACCUUAUAGUUUGGGAUAACUCCGGGAAACCGGGGCUAAUACCGAAUAAUCUGUUUCACCUCAUGGUGAAACACUGAAAGACGGUUUCGGCUGUCGCUAUAGGAUGGGCCCGCGGCGCAUUAGCU
This 239-nucleotide ribosomal RNA is filed under the name Lysinibacillus fusiformis. RNAcentral describes it as "16S rRNA. Bacterial SSU". It matches the Rfam family "Bacterial small subunit ribosomal RNA", at positions 19 to 246 of the family's 1533-position model. Lineage: Bacteria; Bacillati; Bacillota; Bacilli; Caryophanales; Bacillaceae. The record is from RNAcentral.